GCAUUCAUCUUUGCAUCAUGUGCAUUGCAUCAUGUCAUAAAUCUUUUGCAUCUCAACUAAAUAAUUUGUGUGGAUCUUCGAUCCAUUUAAAUCGAGGGAAGGAUGACUUCUCUUUAUAAUAUAUCCUCCCGAUAUUAGUGGAGCUAUUAUAAAAUUAUCCAUUCUUAUGGAAUCACCUAAAACACACUUGCAAAUUUCCCCAUGCCUUUGUUAUCUCGCUGCUUGACCUCGAACCUUGCCAUUUAUUCUUUCAUCAUUUUCCGGAGCUCUACCAAAAUUCUCAACAUUUUUGGAAACUCCUAGAACCUACCCUAGUUCAAACCUUUUGAAUUAAAUUCAAAGAAAUUUGAAUUUAUUCUUUCAAUCUUGGUCUUUCCUAAUUUUCUCAGACCUAACAUAUUUUUGUGAGUCCGGCAAAUUUAUCCNNNNNNNNNNNNNNNNNNNNNNNNNNNNNNNNNNNNNNNNNNNNNNNNNNNNNNNNNNNNNNNNNNNNNNNNNNNNNNNNNNNNNNNNNNNNNNNNNNNNNNNNNNNNNNNNNNNNNNNNNNNNNNNNNNNNNNNNNNNNNNNNNNNNNNNNNNNNNNNNNNNNNNNNNNNNNNNNNNNNNNNNNNNNNNNNNNNNNNNNNNNNNNNNNNNNNNNNNNNNNNNNNNNNNNNNNNNNNNNNNNNNNNNNNNNNNNNNNNNNNNNNNNNNNNNNNNNNNNNNNNNNNNNNNNNNNNUUCUUUCUUGUUAUUCUCUUGUUUUCUGAUAAAGAAAAUAUUAAGAGAAAGAAGGGAGAGAGAGGCGGCCUACUCCACUGGCCACUUGGGCCUCCCCCCAGGCUGGCCCAACCAUCUCCCGUUCCCUCAGCCCACCAAAUCCCUAAACCUAACCUAGAGCCCGAGUCAUCCCCACGCGCUCCCCUUCUCCUCAAACCCCCUCCUUCCUUGCUUUCCCUUCCGCCGCCGCUACCCAUGCACGCGCUCGCAGCGCCAGGAGCCCGAUCCCCUCACUCAACUCCCUCGACCUCACUCGACCUCCUUGACAUCACGGUCCUCGCAGCGCCUCCCGAGCGCCAUGGCCGCCGCCCGCUCCCUGCAGUCGCCCCUCGCUGGCUCCUGUAGGCCGCCGCUCGGCUCCCUCGCGCCGCCACCACGUGAGUCUCCCUGCGCCCUUGCCUCGACCGCCCCUGCCUUGGCCUUCCUAGAGCUCUGCGCUGCUGCUCUGCUCCACGCGCCCAUCCUAUAGCUCGUCUGCCUCGGCAAGCCGCCGCCGCGCCAAGUCCCCGCAUCUCCGGCCGCUCCCCUGCAGCUCCUCGUCCACCUCGUGUGCGACCUCCCCUGUUGCGCUGCUGCAGCACCUUCAACACGCCUUCGCCUCCUGCUGCCGGCACGCCGCCAUAUCUCCGUUGCCUGGCGACCCUCUGCAUCCACCGGCACGCCUGCAUGCCUCCUGCUCGCCUUGUCCCUCUUGUUGCCACGCCUUGAGCUCCAUCCCGCGAACAGCUGUUCCAGGCGAACCUUUCUCCUGCUGUUCCUGCAUUCCCAUGGCCCUGAAAACCCACUGCUACUUCAGGCACCAUGUCCACAAACCCUGUUGCCGUUGCAUGCGACCAGUUCGUUCUGUCCCUUCGAACACUGUCAAGCAGAGCCUUUUGCCAUGUUCUGUCUUGGAUCACGCCAAGACCAUCUCAAGCUCGACUACGGUGUGUUGUCCCAACCAAGACCACAAGUACCACGGCGGCCCUCCAAGAGUUUGGAUUUGACAAGUUCGACAACGCUCUUGUACAACUACGUUACCGAGAUCGGCAAGACCGAUUACACGAACCGACAUGUACCACUAUGUCUGAAGACCUCGAACCCGUCAAGUACCGCGAGAACGUUUGUACAUCUAACGUCGUCUUCGUAAUCUCUAAGAACGUCAAGUACCCCUUCGAGAUGACGAGACCGGCAUGUUUGGAUGACCCUAAGUACCUCUUCGAAACGACCGAGUACCAUUACCAUCGGACGCUCGAACGACAGCAGGCCGAAAAGUCAAGUUCCUCGAUGAACCAUGUACGACUACCAUUUCUCGCGGAUUCACCUAAGCACCAUGAUAUGGAAGACCGUACAAGUUACCGUUGCCGUGUACGACUACCGUCGCCUUGGAGAUGUUGGGUUCAUCAAGUUCCUCUUCGGAAAAGUACCACUACUUCCCUUGACAACCCGUGAACGACUACUUCCUCUACUUCCCUCGAUGAACUCGAACCAUCCUAUUUGCACGCUUUGAAGGUAUAACCUUGAGACGACGUCCGUGAACGAAUGCUUGCGAUGUUUGAGAUGCUCGUGUUUGCACCGUGUCCAAAUUGUCACUCGUUUCCUUGUCGCCAACUCGUGGGACACCCGGAAUCCGGGAGCGCCCCACCAUUUUUUGCACGCAUCCGCACACUUCUCCUUUGCAUCGGUAUCUCAAUCGAGUUACCGGAACUAGAACGCUGUCGUGGCACCGUUUUCUUUAUCGUUGCCGUGGCACCCUUUUUCCUUCCACCACAGUGAGAAAUGCCUUAUAAUGCUCUUGUCAACUUUUAAUAAAAAAUUGCAUAAACUUGUUCAUGUCAUCCGCAUCAUGAUAACAACAAUUAAAAUGUUUAAAUUGUUGUUGCAAUAAAUUACUAAUGCAUAUGGGGAUUUACCGGAUUUGUUGUUUGUUAUAUCCGGCCCCAUUUAAACUAUUUAAUGGGAAUAGUUUUGUUAUGCUUCACCUCUUGCCAUGUUAACCAACAUUUAAUAUUGUUGUGUACUUAAACGGGAGAGAACUAAAUAAUUGAUGUGGUGUUUUGUCAAUAUGCAUCCCGAUGCAUAUUGAGCUCCACUUAAUUUGUAGGAUUGCUUGUGCACUUUGCCAUGCCAUGUAUACUUAAACCGGACAUGCAUCAUACUUGAUUGUGCAUCAUGCCAUGAUUAUGUGAUGGUUGUUUACCAUGAUUGUUUGCUUCUUUCUGGUGUUGCUUCUUCGGGUUGGUUCCGUGAACGUCGCGUUUGUGAGGACCCGUUCGACUACGUCCGUUUGUCUUCUUCAUGGACUCGUUCUUCUUCCUUGCGGGAUUUCAGGCAAGAUGACCAUACCCUCGAAAUCACUUCUAUCUUUGCUUGCUAGUUGCUCGCUCUUUUGCUAUGCCUAUGAUGCGAUACCUACCACUUGUUUAUCAUGCCUCCCAUUUUGUUAAGCCAAGCCUCUAACCCACCUUGUCCUAGCAAACCGUUGUUUGGCUAUGUUACCGCUUUGCUCAGCCCCUCUUAUAGGGUUGUUAGUUGCAGGUGAAGAUUGGAGCUUGUUCCAUGUUUGGAACAUGGAUAUUUUGUUGGGAUAUCACAAUAUCUCUUAUUUAUUUAAUGCAUCUAUAUACUUGGUAAAGGGUGGAAGGCUUGGCCUUAUGCCUGGUGUUUUGUUCCACUCUUGCCGCCCUAGUUUCAGUCAUAUCGGUGUUAUGUUCCCAGAUUUUGCGUUCCUUAUGCGGUUGGGUUAUAAUGGGAACCCCUUGACAGUUCGCCUUGAAUAAAACUCCUCCAGCAAGGCCCAACCUUGGUUUUACCAUUCGCAACCUAGCCUCUUUUUCCCUUGGGUUAGGCCAGCCCAAGGGUCAUCUUAUUUUAACCCCCCCCUUGAGCCAGUGCUUGUCUAAGUGUUGGUCCAACCGAGCGAUGUCCAGAGCUACCAGGGGCAACUCUGGGCUGGCCCACCCGACGUCUUGCUCAUCCGGUGUGCCCUGAGAACGAGAUAUGUGGAGAUCCUAUCGGGAUUUGUCGGCACAUCUGGGUGGUUUUGCUGGACUUGUUUUACCAUUGUCGAGGAUGUCUUGAAGAACCGGGAUACCGAGUCUGAUCGGAAUGUCUCGGGAGGAGGUCUAUUCCUUCGUUGACCGUGAGAGCUUGUCAUGGGCUAAGUUGGGACUCCCUUGCAGGGAUCUGAACUUUCGAAAGCUGUGCCCACGGUUAUGGGCAGAUGGGAAUUUGUUAAUGUCCGAUUGUAGAUAACGUGAACCUUAAUUUAAUUAAAAUGAAUCAACAGUGUGAGUUACCGUGAUGGUCUCUUUUCGGCGGAGUCCGGGAAGCGAACACGGUGUUGGAGUAAUGUUUGUCGCAGCUUGUCCUCUAGUUUUUUAACCGUGCUUUGCCUUCUCUUCUCGCUCUCUUUUGCGAAUAGGUUAGCCACCAUAUAUGCUAGUCGCUUGCUGCAGCUCCACAUAUUUACCCUUGCCUUACCUAUAAGCUUAAAUAGUCUUGAUCGCGAGGGUGCGAGAUUGCUGAGUCCCUGUGGCUCACAGAUUACUUCCAAACCAAUUUGCAGGUGCCGUUGAACUGUGCAGAUGACGCAACCAAGCUCAAGGAGGAGCUCGAUGAAGAUAUUGUCCUUUGUGUCGUUUCGUUCUAGUUGAUCAGUAGUGGAGCCCAGUUGGGGUCGAUCGGGGACCUUUGUCGCAUUUGGGGUUCUUCUUUUAUUUUGGUUCCGUAGUCGGACCUUGAUUGUAUUUGGAUGUUGUAAUGCUUUAUUCAUGUAAUUGUGUGAAGUGGCGAUUGUAAGCCAACUAUGUAUCCUUUUCCCCUAUUGUAUUACAUGGAUUGUGUGAAUAUUACCUCACUUGCGACAUUGCCUUCAAUGCGGUUAUGCCUCUAAGUCGUGCUUCGACACGUGGGAGAUAUAGCCGCAUCGAGGGCGUUACAAGUUGGUAAUCAGAGCCUUCCCUGACCUUAGGAGCCCCAUUGCUUGAUCGUUUUUUUAGCGGCCGAGUUGUGUCUAGAAAAAUGUUUUGAGUCAUUUAGGAAUUAUAUAUCGGAGAGUUUAGGAAUUCUUUUUACUUCCCAGUCUCCUCAUCGCUCUGGUAAGGCAUCCCAACGUAGAGUUUUGACUCUUCUCUUCUCAAAUUUCACUAAAAAAAAUUUAGGAUCACGCGGGUAUCUUGGAAUCGUUCCGAUGGUUUUGUGACGAGAACAUUGUCUUGGUGCCUCCUGUCAGGGGUUGUGGCAGUGUCCCGGGGAGUUGAGCUCCGAGGUGUUGUCAUCACAAUUUUAUCGUUGCAGUUCUGGAAUACCUGAGUUUAGUUCGCCGACAUCGAAAAUCUCUUUUAUGAAGUUCGUUGGUGAGAUAACCUCGAUGCCACCCAUUACUGGGGCGGGAGUUCGGGAGUAUCGCCAUAACUCGUAUAACGGAUGCUUUUCGAAGGUUGAGGUAGAUGGUUUCCGAAGUUUUUCUCGGUUAUAUGUUGAAGGAUGGAUACAGCUGGAUGUAGGAUUUGCUAGUUUGGGUGAGAUAUUAUGCUUCCCCUGUAUCCUCAACACCUGAUGGCAUAACCGGAAAGGUUCGGGAGUUUAUAAGUGGGAAUUGAAGUAGCUCGUAGGAAUUUCUUUCCAACUGACACAUGAUAUGAUAUGGGGUCUAUCAUAUGUUUGUUCCGGCUUAUUCUGCAAGCCAAUCCUUUGUUUUGUUUUGAGUUGUUGUAUUCGAGUUGCUUCAAUGUCAAAUUUUGAUUCCAUACCCUCCCCCAAAUGUUGUUCUCAUACUUCGGUGUGAAUACUAAUCCUUCUCGAUCAUCGAGUUUGUCAUUUCAAUUUCUUGUCAACUGGUGUGCUUCUCUUCAAGUGGAUCCGAUCAUUUCAACAUCAGUAAGAUCAAUUAUCAGUUCUUCUCAACGGUGUUUGUUUCAUCCAUCUCCAAGUUGUCUUUGUUUUCCCACCCUCCCACCCCUUUUCUUCAAGGAUUCAGAUUUCUUAUUCAAGUAUCCUUUUUAUUGAUGGGAAGCCUCUCCAUUCCUUUUCCGUCAAUAUUCUUAUCCGGUGAUUCUCAGGAAGAUUCUAAUGGAGCUUCAAGUUUGUCAUUCUUCUUUCUUUUCAUCUCCGGUGGUUUCAAGUCAAGCUUUGUUGAUCAUAUCUUUUCCUAGUUUCAAUGUUUUCUCAUGCCGGUGCAAUUCUUAAUGAUUCACCUCUCGCUAUUCAAUUGUUUCGGAGUGCUCAAGAUAUCUCGAAGAUUCGUGUUUCCACUCUGCAGUCGUUCAAGAUCUUUUGAGGAUGUUAUCUCAUUCAAGCCAUUUAAUUCUAUCGGUGCAAUCUCUCUUUCAAAUCAUUCAACGGUGUUUUCUUUUGAGUGGGCCCCAACCCACAGGUCUUUUCCCAGGGUCUUACCUGACUCUUCUUAUUUUCCCGGAGCUAUCCUAAAUUAAUUUCAAAUUUGACGUAAGAAUGAUUCACCAUCGGUCUUAUGUUUUCUCCAAGAUCUUUCAAAUUCUUUUCAUUGUUGGCUCAACCUCUUCGUUUUGAUUCUUCCGGAGUGCCUAAAUAAGUCAUUAUGGUAUUUCUCGUCGUCAUUCUCAGAUUUUGAAGACCGAAGAAGGCUUGUUCCUCCAUAUAUUGCUCCAUUCUCUUCAAGAUUCGUGAUUCCACCUUGUUGCCAUCCUCUCAUAAUUAUAUUCGAUUGUGAGAAUUCUUUUCACCCAUUCGGUGCAAUUCAAGGGUAUUUUCAGUUCGAUUAUCCGGAGCCCAUCAUUUCAGAAGACUUGUUCAUUCUUAGCUUUCAGCUAUGGUUCUCUAAAUCUUACCGAUGCAUCGAUCAAUUAUCCUCUAUCAGUUCUUGAUCUCUUUAUUCUCAUGUAACUAAAUCCCGUCAAGCUUCUUCAUUCAUUUGCUAAUUCUUCCCAGUGUUGCUUUAUCUUUACUCCGUUCAUUUUCAUUUCUUACGGUGGUUCGUUCAAGAGUUUUUCUUCCUUCGUGUAUCAUAUCUAUGCAUUCGUGCUUUUCAAAUUCUACCGGUGGAUCGUUGAAGACCUUCCCAAGUUCAUGCUAUAUCUCUCUUCAAUCCGUUGCAACUGGAAUAAGUAGUAUGCGAAAUCCGUUUCUUGUCAUCAAUUUAAUUGGUGAAGGUUAAGCAUAAUGUAAUUCUUAUUAUUGUUUCAUCCAAAUGAUUAAUUCCCUAUUCCGGAGGUUCAUCAAAAUUCUUGAUCUCAAUUGUUCAUCUUAUCUUUUCUUCCCGGAGUUCCAACCUCUUUCAAUUAUAUCGCCACUGAGAUCCAUCUAAAUCAUUACAAGGCUUCAAUCUUAUUCUUUUUGUCAUUCAAUUAUUUUGGAUCAUUCUUUUAUUACCGGAGUUCUUCACGGAGGUUCUACAUGAUGGUUCAUCUAUGAUUUAAUUCAUUCUCGAAGUGUUCAUCAAGAUUCUUUUCUAAGAAGGUCAAGCUUUCUUCUUCUUGCAAUCCGGAGUGCAAUUCUUUCUACCAUAUUAUUGGAGGUGGUAUUGUGUCAUUCUUGAUAAUUUGAGUUCAUGUUUCAUGAUUCACAUGUUGUUAAGAAUGAGGUAUUUUAAAUCCAUCGAUCUCGUCAUUAGAGUUAUCUGGGUUAUAUUCCACCUAAAGCCUUCCCUCAGGAUUGUUGCUAUCCAUGGUGCUUAUAAAUGAUCCAAUUUCUUCAUUUAUCCUUUCCGGUGCGAUAAGCUUCUCGUCUCCUUGUUCUUAUCAAUCCAAUUCUUUUCCCAUGAGUGGCAGUUUGUCACCUCAUAAUUUGAGAUGUAUUCCAUAAGACCAUAUCAAGCUUAUCCUUUUUCGUUGUUGGUUUUCCAACAACUCUGUCCGAACCUUAUCCUAAGGAUGCCUUUUCAAACUCUUUUGUGACAGAAGUUGUCUUUUCUUCUCCAUUCUUUUAUUUCAAUGAUCUAGCUUCUAUUUCUCUCUUCCGGAGGCAUUGCGAUGUUUUUCUUUUCACCCAUCAUCUUGUUUUGUCAAAGAUCAUGUUUUUUUCGUGCUUAUCCAUUUAACCGGAGUGCUGUCUGAAGCUGUUCUCCCUUGUUCCUCUUUUCUAGCGGUGUGUUUUCGAUUUUGUUCAUCUCCGUUGUAUUCUUUCUUUCAGUUUGUUCAACUUUUCAAGGUUUCUUGGUUUCACUCGUUUGUCAAAGAAACAACUUAGUUUUACCUCUUCUCUUUCUCUUCCGUUUUCCCUCCGGUGGCAUUCUAGAUCUCGGGACGAGAUCCUCUCAUACUGGUGGAGUGUUGUGACGCCCCAAGGCGGGAGCUUCAGAUGCCUUCCAGGGUUUCCGGGUUUUCGUCGUGUGAGUUGUUGGUUUGUUGCAUUCAUCUUUGCAUCAUGUGCAUUGCAUCAUGUCAUAAAUCUUUUGCAUCUCAAUUAAAUAAUUUGUGUGGAUCUUCGAUCCAUUUAAAUCGAGGGAAGGAUGACUUCUCUUUAUAAUAUAUCCUCCCGAUAUUAGUGGAGCUAUUAUAAAAUUAUCCAUUCUUAUGGAAUCACCUAAAACACACUUGCAAAUUUCCCCAUGCCUUUGUUAUCUCGCUG
Molecule: long non-coding RNA, 8285 nt
Filed under: Triticum aestivum (bread wheat)
Lineage: Eukaryota; Viridiplantae; Streptophyta; Magnoliopsida; Poales; Poaceae
Description: long non-coding RNA (TAES_LNC010169)
Source: RNAcentral